This 624-nucleotide long non-coding RNA is filed under the name Heterocephalus glaber (naked mole-rat). Its description in RNAcentral is "lncRNA (ENSHGLG00100043142.1)". Lineage: Eukaryota; Metazoa; Chordata; Mammalia; Rodentia; Bathyergidae. The record is from RNAcentral.
GAUCAUUGUGGAGAGCGAAUAAUCAAGCCUCCUUUAGACUAGCUCUGUGCUGCCCAUUUAGAGAUCUUGAACUCUUGUAAAAGUUGAACCCAUCCCAUCCAUCAUGGAAUCUCCUUAGUGCUUUUUUUUCUUGGAGUGAUCAAUCUUCUCCCCUUUUCUUCCCACUUCCCACCCCUGGACCCACGUCUCCUAGCUCAGAAGUCCAGAUGGACAGGAGGGUCACCACUCAGAAUGACAGUCCCCGAAAGGGGGCACAGUUGUUGUCUUCUCUAUAUACUGCUGUGUUCCCAGCACCUAGAAUGAUUCUUGACACACGAGUUGCUUUGGUGGACAUCAGGACAGCCUGGGAAGACAGCGAUGAAUCGGAAUGCUCAGGGCACCCAGCAGCAUCUGAGAGAGGGGAGGUGUUACUAAGAGGGACCCCUGUGAAUCCCUACUGCAUUUGACCCCUGCUCUUUCAACAAAAUUUUUUACUUCUGCUUUAACAGAGGCAAGGAAAAUAGUAAAAUAUAUUAAAGUUGGCUUGUAUUAAAAAAACCCUCCUUUGUAAUUAGGGCAGUAAAUUAUAGACACAGGAUUCCAUAUAGGCCAUAAAUUGAAUAUUUUAGAGAGAGUAGAGUUGGG